This 105-nucleotide ribosomal RNA is filed under the name uncultured bacterium. RNAcentral describes it as "partial 16S ribosomal RNA". It matches the Rfam family "Bacterial small subunit ribosomal RNA", at positions 1378 to 1482 of the family's 1533-position model. The record is from RNAcentral.
CCCUUGUACACACCGCCCGUCACACCAUGGAAGUGGGUUGUACCAGAAGUAGGUAGAAUAACCGCAAGGGGUUCGCUUACCACGGUAUGAUUCAUGACUGGGGUG